This 94-nucleotide non-coding RNA is filed under the name human gut metagenome. Its description in RNAcentral is "NiCo riboswitch". It matches the Rfam family "NiCo (Nickel/Cobalt) riboswitch aptamer". The record is from RNAcentral.
ACAGUACAAACUGAGCAGGCGAUGAACCGAAGGGUCAUGGGGCCGGGCCGCCUUGUGUGGCAGCAGAUGGUUUUUGAAACAUCUGUGGGACAGU